UGCCUAACACAUGCAAGUCGAGCGAGAAAGUCCCGGCAACGGGAUGAGUAAAGGGGCAAACGGGUGAGUAACGCGUAGGUAAUCUGCCCUACGGAUCGGGAUAACCUGCCGAAAGGUGGACUAAUACCGGAUGAUGUUCCUGUGGAGAUUCCGUGGGAACCAAAGGGGGCGAGCGAAAGCAGCUCUCACCGAAGGAGGAGCCUGCGUCCGAUUAGCUAGUUGGUGGGGUAAUGGCCUACCAAGGCGACGAUCGGUAGCCGGCCUGAGAGGGCGAUCGGCCACACUGGAACUGAGACACGGUCCAGACUCCUACGGGAGGCAGCAGUGGGGAAUAUUGCGCAAUGGGCGAAAGCCUGACGCAGCGACGCCGCGUGGGUGAUGAAGGCCUUCGGGUCGUAAAGCCC
Molecule: ribosomal RNA, 404 nt
Filed under: uncultured organism
Description: bacterial SSU rRNA
Rfam family: Bacterial small subunit ribosomal RNA
Source: RNAcentral